UUCCGUGAGUUGGGUCACGAACUUGAAGGAAAAAGCUCCUCGGCCCACAGCCUAAUUGAAAAGGACACACUGGAAUUCUUCUACCUGUCUGAACUGACACAAGUUCCAAGUGGCAAUUUCCUCAUUGAGAUGGCAAGCUGAACUUUGCUGCUGGACUCCAAGUGGAGGCCUUUGUUGUCCAUUCAAGCGCCCUCUGGCAAAAUCACAUUAAAAAAAAACUAAAGCUCUCUCUGCUUCUGCCAAGAACAAGCCUUGACCCCGUUUUCAAAAGAGACCAUGUAUAAGAGAGCUCUCAGCACCCAGUCUUUCCUCUAUCACCU
Long non-coding RNA from Amblyraja radiata (thorny skate), 320 nucleotides. RefSeq lists it as uncharacterized. The transcript has 3 exons. Lineage: Eukaryota; Metazoa; Chordata; Chondrichthyes; Rajiformes; Rajidae. The record is from RefSeq and is a predicted model, not a curated record.